GGAUGAACGCUGGCGGCGUGCUUAACACAUGCAAGUCGAACGAAGCACUUUAUUUGAUUUCCUUCGGGACUGAUUAUUUUGUGACUGAGUGGCGGACGGGUGAGUAACGCGUGGGUAACCUGCCUUGUACAGGGGGAUAACAGUUGGAAACGGCUGCUAAUACCGCAUAAGCGCACAGCAUCGCAUGAUGCAGUGUGAAAAACUCCGGUGGUAUAAGAUGGACCCGCGUUGGAUUAGCUAGUUGGUGAGGUAACGGCCCACCAAGGCGACGAUCCAUAGCCGAGCUGAGAGGGUGACCGGCCACAUUGGGACUGAGACACGGCCCAAACUCCUACGGGAGGCAGCAGUGGGGAAUAUUGCACAAUGGGCGAAAGCCUGAUGCAGCGACGCCGCGUGAGCGAAGAAGUAUUUCGGUAUGUAAAGCUCUAUCAGCAGGGAAGAUAAUGACGGUACCUGACGAAGAAGCACCGGCUAAAUACGUG
This 482-nucleotide ribosomal RNA is filed under the name uncultured bacterium. Its description in RNAcentral is "partial 16S ribosomal RNA". It matches the Rfam family "Bacterial small subunit ribosomal RNA", at positions 27 to 507 of the family's 1533-position model. The record is from RNAcentral.